CAUGACUCGCUUACCAUCUACCACUGC
This 27-nucleotide unclassified non-coding RNA is filed under the name Mus musculus (house mouse). RNAcentral's name for it is "piRNA piR-mmu-68126122". Lineage: Eukaryota; Metazoa; Chordata; Mammalia; Rodentia; Muridae. The record is from RNAcentral.